UAUUAAAAAUUUCAUCCAUUUCUACUAAAAAAAUUAGAGUGGCUGAUAGAAUAACUAGACAAUUAGACAUGGUGCAUACCUCAUGCUAGUAUACAUAGGCUAGUUUUUAAUAGAAAAAAUGGAUGAAAUUUAUAAUA
RNAcentral lists this microRNA precursor (137 nucleotides) under Gossypium hirsutum (cotton). Its description in RNAcentral is "MIR7502 microRNA precursor family". It matches the Rfam family "MIR7502 microRNA precursor family". The record is from Rfam by way of RNAcentral. Lineage: Eukaryota; Viridiplantae; Streptophyta; Magnoliopsida; Malvales; Malvaceae.